Molecule: RNA transcript, 4840 nt
Organism: Cucurbita maxima (winter squash)
Lineage: Eukaryota; Viridiplantae; Streptophyta; Magnoliopsida; Cucurbitales; Cucurbitaceae
Exons: 18
Source: RefSeq, a predicted model, not a curated record
AUUUUCCCGCACAAAAAUGUCACUCCCUUACUUUCUUCCAUCUUCUUCCUCUGCUCUCUUCUCCGCCGGUCCAAUUCCGAUCAAAACUCCGUUCACUGCUCUGAAUCUCAUGAACUCUCACUGCUAAACUCCGAAACCUCCCCAACCCAUUGUUCUCUGUAAUUUCAUUUACCUCCAAUGGCUUCCAAGGACCCUGAGGAGGCCGCCAACACGACCACUGAGGAAGGAAGUUUGGCCUUCAAGAAGAAGCGGGCCCGACGCGUGAGCUUUGCCGACGUCGAGAUCACUUCGGUGCAUAUCUUUAAGCGUGACGAGGACUACGAGACGCCUCUUGAGCUCCAAGCCACUCCCGAGGCUGCUCCUCCGGACAACGAGGUCCUAGGGUUCUUCAGGAACUUGGUUGAUAGCGAUGAUUCCCUUGAAUCUUCGCCUAAUUUGGAUGAUGAUAUUCUUGGGCAGAGGAAAUCGUUUCUGAGACCACUAGGAUCGCCGUCGCCGGGGAGUAUUUCUGCCGGCUCUGCAACUUCCAAUGAUGAAGACAAUUUUUUUGGACCUGUAGCAGCGAAUUUCAUUAGACCCAGGCGGUUGUCUGAUUCUGCUGCCUCCGAUGAUAAUCAUGACGUUACAAUGGAUUCAACAGCAUUUUCAAUGCAUUUUCGUAGCCUUGCUGAAUCAGACUCGAGGAGGGAGCUCAAAACUCCUACGGCUAUUCGGUCUGCAUUUGAAGAGAGAACACCGACCCGGAACACCAUGCCUACUAACUCUGAUAGUUUUAUGACACUAACGAUGGCUGACAAGCUGAUUUUGCCAUCUUCGCAAUCUGCUGAUUUGGUAAGAAGUGAAGAUUCUAAUGCAAUGAGCAUCGUGGGAGAGAACUCUAAUAAAUACGAUUAUGGGAGAUUAUCUCCCUCUUUCAAUGCACUUUUGACUGAAGGAAGCAGGGAACUCUAUGCUGUUUCGGUGGAUGAAAAAUUGUCCAAACAGAUUGAGACUCGUGAAGUUGAUCAGAUUGGACAACGCAAUUAUGAUAUGGAAAUUUGUGAGAGAACCGAAAUGGAAGCUGUUAGUAAGGGAAGCAACCAAUAUGCCAAACAGGGAGUUGAGGAAAGAUUUUCAGAUGGGUGGGCUAAGGAAGAUUUUCUGAUUGAUAAGAGGCCUGAGACACCGAGAAGUGUUGACUAUAAGCUGAAAAAUAUAUUUCCGCAAAAAAGAUCAUUUUCUGCUGAACAGAAAACAUCUUUGGCUACUUUUAAUUCACCUUCAUUUUCUGCUCUUGUGACUCCUAACUCGAAGCUGUCAAAUUAUAGAUUGAGUACAGGAAGCAUGAAGUUUGGUAAGGGUCUGUCGUCCAAGCAGAGAAGUAUUUCUAAGUUCAGCCUUCCUGAACCUUCUCCAUGUGUGUUGAGUAUUAAGGAAGGAAUUGGCAGAUUAAAAUCCAGACUAUCAAGUUAUUCUUCUAUUGUUAACUUGAGUGGUCAACCUGAACGUUGCAAGGAUCUUGAAAGCAAAUACAUAGACAUUCCUGUUGUGCGUUUAGAAGAAGAACUUUCUAGAUUGAAUGGAAACAACGGUGAAUUUGAAAGUUCAUUUAGCACUAGUGGCAGUGGAGUCAAAACUUUAAAAGACUUCCCUAGGCUGAGCCAAAGUGAAGAACCGAAAGGUUUCACUGAUGCUGGAGAAACACCAGGCUAUAUGGCUAUGGAAAACUUUUCCAAUAUGCAACCUAGUGAACCGGACAUAGAAUUAAAGUCACCCGCUCAAGCUACCUGGACUGAGAAAAAAGAUCUUAUGCCACACAUUUUGAUUUCUGAAGAUCAUUUGUCGAGGUCAUCUACUAGUAUUAAAAUUGAUGAUGUGACGGACAUUAGACCCGAUGACAGAGAACAAAAUAACUCAACCAGUAAACAUGAUACACUUGUUUCAUCUCCUUUGCGAAGUCCAGAUGUAAGGUUAUUAGGAAACAGUGAAUGUCCGUCUGGUAGCUUUGGUGAACUGAAGCAGUGUGACCAACAGGUCAAGCAUGUUAGUGCUUGUUUGACGCAAGGUCAAGCUGCAGCUGCAGAUACAAGCAAUACCAGUCCUUUGACUAAGAUUGCUGACAAUUCUAGUUCAUUGCAAUCCAAAAGUGGAGCUGUGUCAGCUUCACCGUUCCUGAAAGGUCAAUCUUGGGUAGAUGAGGAUGAUAAUGGAGUUAACCUUUCAAAUUUGCAGAAUAAUUUUGUAACAUCUAAGAAUUUGCAACUGUCUUCAGGAGAUGGGAACAUCCUGAAUUCUCGGUUGGAAAGUCCUGCCAAGAGCUCGAAGGUUGGUGCAUUUUCACCGCAGUUUCAAAAGCCUUGGACAAGUGAACGAUCCAUUAUGCAGAGUCCCAUCAAUGGAAUGGCAAACUACAGUCCCCGAAGGAUAAUUUCAACCCAAACAUCAUCUGGGAAGAAAGAGCCCAAGGUUUCCAUCUCUUGUAUGUCGACUGCGAGUCCUUUCAAGAAUGAACGAACUCAGAGUUCUGCAAGGGAAAAGCCAUUUCAAAGUCCCGUCAGGAAUGACCCUUUUAAUGAAACAAAAGACGAUGGGACCUUCAUGAGGAAAGUUAGGGCUUCUCCAACAUCCAGUUUGAGUGGACAUAUUAAUCAUGAUAAUGAUCAAGCAAGCCACAUAUUGGUGAGUUCUUCAAGGAAGACCAAUCACCGCCUUUCAGGGAGCAAGAGAAGAAACAUUGAUUCGAUUCCUCUUGACGGAGAUCAGGGUGACAAUGACGUAAUAGUAAGGACUCGGCAAAGCCUAAAACUUAAUCAUAGUGGAAGUUGUGAUGUGGGCUCUCCGUUAGAAGAGUCCAACCAAAUAAGCAAUGGAAGCAAGAGGACUGAGGGCAAUACACUUAUGCAUUGGACAGAUAUGACAAUAAAGUUUUUAGCAGAGACAAAUGAUUUGCUACCCCCAUCGAUCAACAAGUUGAACUCAAAAGCAAUUGAGAGGCUUGAAGAUACUUUGGUUCACCUUUUGAAGGUUAAAGAAUAUGAACUGCUGUGUUCUGAAAUCCAGUCUCAGAAAGUCAUUGAGAAUCUUGGAGCAAUACGUAAAAGAGUAGUGGAAGCCAGAUCGUUGGUGUAUAAAGUAGCAUAUCAGAAGGCAAAGCUUCAGUUGGUUUGUAUAAAGCGUGAUGGAUAUCAGAAUAGAGCACAGUCAUUGAACUCUCAUUUUGAGGAUUUUCAAAUGUUGAAGUUGAACUAUGACCGCCUCAGGAAAUUUGGUUCAAAGGACAGUCAAGUUGACGAUGGAAAUAGUCUUUCAUGCCCAAUUGAUUCUGAGGCGUCCUGUGAUAGAGCCAGCAUGAUAAAGCACGAAAUUGAAUCUUUAGAUGGGAAGAUAAAGGGAUUAGGCCAAUAUUUUUCAACAUAUUGCAACUUGAAAGGAGUAACUAGUUCAACUGACAUCCUUGGAUUAGUUAUUGAUCAUCUAAGGAAGAGAAAGCUCUGCAGGUCUAUUUAUCAGGGUUUGCAGAUGUGGAAGGUAGAUGAUUUUGAGAAAAAGAAUGAUCACUACACCAUACUUCUCAACUACCUUAGUUAUGCCUACCAAAGGAUUACAAUUAAAGCCAAUCCACUCCCGGGUGUAACCAUCUUAAAUACAUUGAAUGAUACUCAUAUUGGGAAGAACGUUCCAGAAAUGAAUGCGUGCUGUGCAUUUGCUUUUGUGAUAAACGUUGAGAAGACACGGAAGUAUAAUGCUUCCUGGCAUUUGCCCAAAGAAACUCAAAUGAUGAGUUCUUUUCUACACAACCUGCUGGAUGUGAUUGCGGAAAUGCAGAUAGCCCAGAUAGAGAUUUCAAAUCUCAUCCUAAUAAGAUUUUACUCACCCUCAGACGAGAAGCUCGAUUUGCAGCUUAGUUUCAUCAACUUCCAAAGUGGCAGGAAGGUAAAUCUUGUUCUGGACGUAUCAGAUUUGAGUCGAGGGAUUUAUCCUUCUGAAGUUCUUCCGCAUAAGGUCGAAUCUCCUGCUUCGAAUAAAUACACACUCUCAGAGUCCAUGUUAAAUGACAUUAGAGCUGCAGUUGGGAAUUUAGAUUCUGGAUAUUCGAGGAUUUUAAGAGUUUGUAGAUGUGUUUCGGAAGUCGUACAAAGGUCAUCAAGCUGAUGCCGACAAUAGCAUUUUCUCUGUAUUUCUGUAUGUUGCUGGCAGUUCCAGCAUUAUUGUAAAAUCUAGAUUUAUUCAGCUGUCAGGUAUUUUCCCCUUGAAAAUACACGGAGCAAUGAGAAUUUUAGCUAACCCCUUGGAUGAGUUACUUCGUGAUUUAUGUCUGUAGUUGAAGCUUGCUAUUUGACCAAAUACAUCUAAACUUUGAGCAAGAUUAAUGAUGAUAAAGGCUGAGAUUAAUCAAUCUUGGUUUCAUGACUCUGAUGUCUCAUCUAAUAGUUGAAGUCCAUCAUGGAUGAUGGAAAAGUGACUUGCGAGGAUCAAGUUGGAGCUACACCACGAGGUUAAAGCUAUCAGUGCACAGGCUUCAUCAAGCAUCAUCAUUCAAAAUUAGGAAAGAUGGGUUUGAAGAACAAAAAGAGGUGAAAUCACUUUGCUCGUAUAACAUAUUCUAGGGAUACAAUAAUGUUGAAGAGAGAAAGGUGGGAGGAGGACAAAGCACUUUUGAACACUUUUUGGUUGGUGGGGUUGAAUGCUUCAUUGUUGAAUCUUUGCUGUCUUUUCUUCAUUUGCCAAGUAGGUCUUCGAUUCCCCUUAUUUACAAAUCUCUCUCUCUCUCUCUCUCUCUCUCUCUCUUUGAGCUUUGAAGAUAGCAUCUAAGAAACAGGGUUUUGAAGAAGAUCUAUUGCAAUCGACAAUUCGUCUCUCA